Molecule: long non-coding RNA, 1695 nt
Organism: Syngnathus typhle (broad-nosed pipefish)
Lineage: Eukaryota; Metazoa; Chordata; Actinopteri; Syngnathiformes; Syngnathidae
Exons: 5
Source: RefSeq, a predicted model, not a curated record
GUUCUUCCUACAGGGAUCCAUGCAGAAAAGCACACGACACAAAAUUAUAUACAAUAUAAUCAAUGAAUAUUAACUUCAUGAGGGUGUUGUUGCUUUCGUAUGAUGUCAUUUAAUUGUGAAUGAGCAGAGGCUUAUUGGCCAACAUUUUGAAAACAACUUACAGCCUCCUCAGCAGAUCUUUUGUAUGCUUUGACUUUCAGUUGGAGUUUAUCAACCAGAUCUUGGAGGCGCACAACAUUCUUGCGAUCUUCCUCCGUCUGUAAUUAUAAGGACUAGAGUAUCCUGUUGGGAAAGCCCUUUCUGCAGAUUCGGAUGCCUUCCAGCACACCAUUACAACGCAGCUGGUGCAUCACCAGAGGGUUCUCCAUGGCUCCAGGAGUCUUGGUCUCAUUGGGGAUGAUGCAGCGUACAAAAUGGGGGUGAGCACUAGUGUCCUGCUCUUUCUUCAGCUCUUCUGCCAUCAUGGCCGCAUCGGUGAUGGCCUUGGCCUUCUCCUCAGCAUUCCUGCACUCCUGGAGGGCAUCUUCUACUUCUGUCAGAAGCUGGGAGGUAUCUGCUUCCAGUUUCUUCUUUUGGUUUAUCAGAGAAGUAUUCUAAAUCAAGUGAUUAUUUAGUAGCAAACAGAAAGAUGGUAGAUUGGUAGAUGUCAUGUGUUUCUCUCACUUGUGAAUGCAGCAGCUGCACCCUUUCACUGACAUCCAGCAACUCUUGCUCAGCAAGUUUGUGACUUCUCUCAGUUUGUUCAAGAGCAGCCCUCAGUUCUUCCAGCUCAGUUUGAAUGAGAUUGUUAAGCCUCUCCACAAUAGCAAUGUUCUCUUUCAGAUCAUCAUUGGCUCGGACAGAGUCAUCCAGCUGAAGUUGGCAAUCCUUCAUAUGAUAACUUCCAAUAGAUACAUAUUAACAUAAAAAAUAUCACAUAAGACAAUGCCAUGUUAGGCAAGGUAAUUUUGUCCAUUACAUGUGGACCUAAUUAUUGCUACCUAUCUGUUAAUGAAAAAAAAAAAAAAACUGAAAAAGAAGAAGUAAUUUCUUUGCUCCUCUUCUUUCCCCUGUAGGCAACAACCACCUCUCGGUCGUAGACUGGCAGCCACUUGUAAGGGUUGACAGUCACACAGAACAAUCCGGAGUAGGUCUAACGAAAAAACAACUUUUAAAUUGCGCGACAUUAAGUAAUGACAGGAAAACGAAUAUGAUUAUCUUACAUAGAUCAUCCAUGCCGCAUAACGCUCUUUGAGGUUAAACAGCACAGCGGGCUCGUGGAGGAAGGUCAACAUCGCCAUGUCUUCUAUCUUGUCAAAUUUUGGAGGAUUCUGUUGCAGAAUCUCGGCGCUUUUGACGGUCACCGUCUAUGGAACACAGUAUAACCGUCAAAUGCCACCGAAGAAGCAUACUGGGAACCACACAGCUCAAACGUCCAAGCAUGCUGGGUAAUUAAUUGACACUGCCCCCGUCUCGACUUGUGACGGAAGCCUUUACAAACUCUUCUACCGCAUCAGGGACGAAACAUUCCUUUUUUAUGUCGAAGAUGCGAGUGGAAGCCUCCAUCCGCUGCUGCCCCGUACACAGACAUCUCUGCAUCUCCCAUAGCUUCACUGUAAAUGGAGAGAAUAAGGACAUCACAGAUGGAAAAUCUUUCCCCUUCACACACAAUUUAAUGUUUUGUUAAUUACAAAUAAAAAAAAUAUCAAACAGUAA